GGAAGGAAAAAAAAGGAGCAUGGAAGCAGGAGAUUUUUGGAGAGCAAAGGUAUAUGCUUCUGGAAACCCAGAGGAGGAAAUAGAUUACACAUAUGUUAUUAUAGGAGCUACUCUGGGAGCAGUUCUAGCAAUCGGUUUUGUAGCAGUAAUAAUCUGCAUGAUCAAAUCCAAAAUGAUGGACAGUGUCUUUGGAGAGUCAGAUGGCAAAAUGGAUAGAAGGUCAAACACAGGUUCAAGCCAAAACAGAUGACAGCAAUGCAAUAAGAAAUCAAAGUAUAAAGAUCAAUAACCCUUUUGCAUCAACAGUUACCUGGUCUGAGGAUCAAUAGAAGUCUCUUGUGCAUAGGCAGGAAUCUUACCAAUACCAAUCCUUUUCUUUGUUCUUUAGUUGAAAGGCUGAUUGAUUAUUUACAGGAAGAGCUUACAGUGCAGCUAACUUCAAUCACCUGCACCCAAAAGGCCUGCAAUCCCCCUCAGCAUGUACAUGAAGGAAAUGUAUGAGGAAAAUAAAAUACAUGGUUCACUAAUAGAUCCUCUUUAU
Molecule: long non-coding RNA, 541 nt
Filed under: Cyanistes caeruleus (blue tit)
Lineage: Eukaryota; Metazoa; Chordata; Aves; Passeriformes; Paridae
Description: lncRNA (ENSCCEG00000017402.1)
Source: RNAcentral